Molecule: long non-coding RNA, 1698 nt
Organism: Triticum aestivum (bread wheat)
Lineage: Eukaryota; Viridiplantae; Streptophyta; Magnoliopsida; Poales; Poaceae
Exons: 3
Source: RefSeq, a predicted model, not a curated record
CAGAAGGUUCAAGUAUACAACAACUGUUCACCGUUAAUCCACGUCCACCAUCUCCUCGCGUAUAUGCAACUUCAGCAAAGAAUAGGUUGCCAGUGUCAACACCAUAAGAUCCUUUGGUCUUUGCAGUGAAAUUCAUAUGAAAGUGAGGCAAUAAGAGUAUAAGACGCAAUACAGCCGUGCUAGCAGGACAGAGGGAGGCUGGAGGGAGGAACAAGUGCCAACCCCAAAAAGAUUAUGAGGGUCGUUAUACAUGUCCACCAAAGCUCGAGCCAACUGGUAUCAAACAUCUUCAAGUGACUCCACAUUCUCUUUGGUGUGGACAGAUAGGGAUACAAUGACUAUCGUGAUCCCAAAGAAUACCCCACACCCACUAGGGAAUAGCAAAUCCUCACCAGUUUCCAUGACAACCGGACUUUUGCCGAUAUAAGUCUUUACAAGGGUGAUGUGCAAGCUUACAACUUGUUUAGCUAGUUCACCUUAAUGACCAUAACCACUAUCCCCAAAAGUAAAAAAAUGAAAACUUUUGAUCUAUUCAUCAUCUACCAAGCCGGUACAAAGAACACCAUAAGUAAUAAAAAUUACAUUCGGGUUCGUAGACCACCCAAAGGAGGGGAUGGGAGGCAACCCGGAGGUGAACAGUGGAGGAGGAACGAUUCGAGAAGGAAGAAAUCUAGAGAAAGGUGGAAGAAUAACGAUCAUUGAAGCUAAUCCAAUGGUCCCAAAUGGACUUGACCAAAAUAAAAUAUAAGGCGAUUUACCUAUAGUCAGACCCAUACUAAAUAAUUAACCUUUUAGCAUGACCGUGAUCUUACUUUGGUUUUCAUUCGAUGUAUAAGAUUGGAUCAGAAUAGCCUUCUUAAUUAUAUUUUCAUGGUCUUUCAGUCUUCUAUUCGAGAAAAUACUUUGGUUGUUUUGGUUAUAUAAUAAUUGUAUGAAAUAAUUUAUUGAUCAAAUUACAAUAAAAAAAGUAGAGAAUGAUUCUAUCCAACAUGUGGCACCUUGAUGAUGCCAUCCCCACCAGAGGGGAUAUUUCCAAUCACCAAAAGCACAUGGUUGCAGCACAUGCCAUUGUCCGCCCUGGGACGAAGAGCAUCAGAAAUCAAGAAUGUGAUGUUAUUCACUUGGGGGUUAUCAUGCCUUAUACAAUUGUACGCCGUGUUUGGGUCUUUCCCGACGAGCUCUGGCCAACUUUGUUCUGUGUAUGAAAUGCAGAUUAUCAGUUAUUUCUUGGACCAUUGAAGUUCAACUCCAAUAAAAAAUAAAUUUGGGGCCAAACACAAAAUAAAAAGUUCAAUGGAGACAUGGCACAAAUUGUAAGAACAAAGAAGGGUGCUAGGUGUAAUACUAACUUCCUUGGCAAGGCGGUGGAGUACACUCGGCAUAUGUUGUAGGUUUAUGAAUGGUCGAAAGUAGAAUGAUCAGAAGGGGCAACAGCAGAAAGGAUGAAGCAAAGGAGAUUUUCGUCAUUUUACUAGAACUUAAUCUUUCUUGUUAAGAAUACUGUUGGGGAAGGGGGCGGGCUUUCUAGUUAUAGAACCCCAAAUCAAGACCGGUCGAGGUAUGCGUACCGGGUUAAUGAGAUCAGAAGAGUUCUGGCUCAAGAAAGGAACAUUAGUCUAGCUAAGAUCAGCAGGCACGCAAAUUUGGCGAGCCACACCCUAGCUUGUAUGGGUCGCUCGCAACAGCGCACGGCAUGCU